CCACGCAGUAAACGAUGAGUGCUAGUUGUCGGGGGUCAAACCUCGGUGACGCAGCUAACGCAUUAAGCACUCCGCCUGGGGAGUACGUACGCAAGUAUGAAACUCAAAGGAAUUGACGGGGACCCGCACAAGCAGCGGAGCAUGUGGUUUAAUUCGAAGCAACGCGAAGAACCUUACCAAGGCUUGACAUAUACAUGACAGCUCUAGAGAUAGAGUCUCUCUUCGGAGCAUGUAUACAGGUGGUGCAUGGUUGU
This 254-nucleotide ribosomal RNA is filed under the name uncultured bacterium. RNAcentral describes it as "partial 16S ribosomal RNA". It matches the Rfam family "Bacterial small subunit ribosomal RNA", at positions 795 to 1052 of the family's 1533-position model. The record is from RNAcentral.